GAUGAACGCUGGCGGCACGCCUAACACAUGCAAGUCGAACGAAGCAUAGGAGCUUGCUCCUAUGACUGAGUGGCGCACGGGUGAGUAACACGUGGGAAUCUGCCUAUUGGUGGGGAAUAACUUUUGGAAACGAAAGCUAAUACCGCAUAAGCCCUGAGGGGGAAAGAUUUAUCGCCAGUAGAUGAGCCCGCGCUAGAUUAGCUAGUUGGUGAGGUAAGAGCUCACCAAGGCUACGAUCUAUAGCUGGUCUGAGAGGAUGGUCAGCCACACUGGGACUGAGACACGGCCCAGACUCCUACGGGAGGCAGCAGUGGGGAAUAUUGGACAAUGGGGGAAACCCUGAUCCAGCGAUGCCGCGUGAGUGAAGAAGGCCUUCGGGUUGUAAAGCUCUUUCAGAGGGGAUGAUGAUGACGGUACCCUCAGAAGAAGCACCGGCUAACUUCGUGCCAGCCGCCGCGGUAA
Molecule: ribosomal RNA, 462 nt
Filed under: uncultured bacterium
Lineage: Bacteria
Description: partial 16S ribosomal RNA
Rfam family: Bacterial small subunit ribosomal RNA
Source: RNAcentral